RNAcentral lists this ribosomal RNA (109 nucleotides) under Gopherus evgoodei (Goodes thornscrub tortoise). The record is from RNAcentral. Lineage: Eukaryota; Metazoa; Chordata; Testudines; Testudinidae.
GUCUACAGUAAGACCACCCUGAACACAUUUGAUCUCAGGCGCUAAGCAGGGUGGGGCCUGGUUAGUACUUGGAUGGGAGACCUCCUGGGAAUACUGGGUGCUGUAGGCU